This 73-nucleotide transfer RNA is filed under the name Ixodes scapularis (black-legged tick). It matches the Rfam family "tRNA". From Rfam's summary of the family: Transfer RNA (tRNA) molecules are approximately 80 nucleotides in length. Their secondary structure includes four short double-helical elements and three loops (D, anti-codon, and T loops). The record is from Rfam by way of RNAcentral. Lineage: Eukaryota; Metazoa; Arthropoda; Arachnida; Ixodida; Ixodidae.
CCCCGGUUGGCUCAGUUGGUAGAGCGCUGCACUGGAAAUGGAGAGGUCCCGGGUUCGAUUCCCGGAACAGGCG